Molecule: non-coding RNA, 100 nt
Filed under: Pseudoalteromonas sp.
Lineage: Bacteria; Pseudomonadati; Pseudomonadota; Gammaproteobacteria; Alteromonadales; Pseudoalteromonadaceae
Description: TPP sequence
Rfam family: TPP riboswitch aptamer (THI element)
About the family: Vitamin B(1) in its active form thiamin pyrophosphate (TPP) is an essential coenzyme that is synthesised by coupling of pyrimidine and thiazole moieties in bacteria. The previously detected thiamin-regulatory element, thi box was extended, resulting in a new, highly conserved RNA secondary structure, the THI element, which is widely distributed in eubacteria and also occurs in some archaea. Analysis of operon structures identified a large number of new candidate thiamin-regulated genes, mostly transporters, in various prokaryotic organisms.
Source: RNAcentral
CGUUACUUGUCGGAGUGCCCCUUGGGCUGAGAUCGCAUUUUGCGGGAUCCGUGAACCUGAUCAGGUUAAAACCUGCGUAGGGAACAAGCUGCCAGUAUUA